UGCUCUGGCUUAUGAGGUAAGAGAAUGGUUACUACUGUAACCAUUCUGUGACUACUGGAAGGCAAAGUGAAAGUCAGGCUGUGGUAAAGGCCCAGUGUAAUUGAAGGCGAUCAGGGAAAGAUCCUUACCAACCAGGACCCAGUGGCCCGGUACCCAAGUGAGACAAGCAGGGCAUAUCUGAUGACCAAGAUGUCCCAGACAACUACAUAGUGAUGAGGUGAAAUUCAGCAGGGAUACAGUGCAUCUGAAGGAAUGUCACCAAAAUGAGCAGGCGGGUCUUUUGCAACUUGAACAGAGCAUGCAUAUAAAAUGCAGUGUCCUAUAGUGCGACUGUCAUACCCAGUGUGUGGGUUACAGGAAAACUGAAUUCCUCUUUCCAGUGUUGGUCCUCUUGCACUUCUAUGUGCACACUAACCAAGUCCAGCCUUGCUGAGGAGACAGUAUAACUCUUAGGUGCUGGUAGGUCGUAGAAAGUGAUUUUAUUGUUUUAACUGAAGCCAACAGGACCAAAAUGCUAGCUGAAAAACAGAAAACGCAUGCUACGUGCUGAUACUUGUCCUGUAAAAGCUGCCAAGCUCAA
Long non-coding RNA from Coturnix japonica (Japanese quail), 580 nucleotides. RefSeq lists it as uncharacterized. The record is from RefSeq and is a predicted model, not a curated record. Lineage: Eukaryota; Metazoa; Chordata; Aves; Galliformes; Phasianidae.